This 465-nucleotide ribosomal RNA is filed under the name Vreelandella stevensii. RNAcentral describes it as "partial 16S ribosomal RNA". It matches the Rfam family "Bacterial small subunit ribosomal RNA", at positions 338 to 795 of the family's 1533-position model. Lineage: Bacteria; Pseudomonadati; Pseudomonadota; Gammaproteobacteria; Oceanospirillales; Halomonadaceae. The record is from RNAcentral.
CCUACGGGCGGCUGCAGUGGGGAAUAUUGGACAAUGGGCGAAAGCCUGAUCCAGCCAUGCCGCGUGUGUGAAGAAGGCCUUCGGGUUGUAAAGCACUUUCAGUGGGGAAGAAAGCCUUGGGGCUAAUACCCUCGAGGAGGGACAUCACCCACAGAAGAAGCACCGGCUAACUCCGUGCCAGCAGCCGCGGUAAUACGGAGGGUGCGAGCGUUAAUCGGAAUUACUGGGCGUAAAGCGCGCGUAGGCGGUCUGAUAAGCCGGUUGUGAAAGCCCCGGGCUCAACCUGGGAACGGCAUCCGGAACUGUCAGGCUAGAGUGCAGGAGAGGAAGGUAGAAUUCCCGGUGUAGCAGUGAAAUGCGUAGAGAUCGGGAGGAAUACCAGUGGCGAAGGCGGCCUUCUGGACUGACACUGACGCUGAGGUGCGAAAGCGUGGGUAGCAAACAGGAUUAGAUACCCGUGUAGUC